GUAGUGGCGAGCGAACGGGGAUUAGCCCAAACCAAUGUUGUUACGGCAAUAUUGGGGUUGUAGGACCACGAUGUCGCAAGAAGUUUAGUGAGAAGAACCCUUUGGAAAAUGGGACCAUAGACGGUGAUAGUCCGGUAUUCGAAGCUAAAUGAAGCGUAGUGGUAUCCUGAGUAGCGCGGGACACGAGGAAUCUUGCGUGAAUCUGCCGGGACCAUCCGGUAAGGCUAAAUACUCCCGAGAGACCGAUAGCGAACCAGUACUGUGAAGGAAAGGUGAAAAGCACUUCGAAUAGAAGAGUGAAAUAGUCCCUGAAACCGUGCGCCUACAAGCGGUCGGAGCUGCUUCAGCAGUGACGGCGUGCCUUUUGCAUAAUGAACCUACGAGUUACUUUUUCCGGCAAGGUUAAGGAUCUUGAGAUCCGCAGCCGAAGCGAAAGCGAGUCUUAAUAGGGCGAUUAGUCGGAAGGAGUAGACGCGAAACCAAGUGAUCUACCCUUGGUCAGGUUGAAGGUUAGGUAACACUAACUGGAGGACCGAACCGAUAAGCGUUGAAAAGCUUCCGGAUGAACUGAGGGUGGGGGUGAAAGGCUAAUCAAACUUGGAGAUAGCUCGUACUCCCCGAAAUGCAUUUAGGUGCAGCCUUGGGAAUUACUACUGUGAGGUAGAGCGACUGAUAAGAUGCGAGGGCUUCACCGCCUAUCAAGUCUUGAUAAACUCCGAAUGCGCAGUAGUUCGAUCCCAGGAGUGAGGGCAUGGGUGCUAAGGUCCAUGUCCUAAAGGAGAAGAAUCCAGACCAUCAGCUAAGGUCCCGAAAUAAUUGCUAAGUUGAACUAACGAAGUCAGAUUGCUAAGACAGCUAGGAUGUUGGCUUGGAAGCAGCCAUUCUUUUAAAGAGUGCGUAACAGCUCACUAGUCGAGGAGUUUGGCGUGGAUAAUAAUCGGGCAUUAAGCAAUUUACCGAAGCUAUGGGAUGUUAACUAAACACUAACAUCGGUAGGGGAGCAUUCCACUCUGCGUCGAAGGUGAAGCGUGAGCUUUGCUGGAGCGUGUGGAAAAGCAAAUGUAGGUAUAAGUAACGAUAAAGGGGGUGAGAAACCCCCUCGCCGAAAGGCUAAGGUUUCCUGAUCAACGCUAAUCGGAUCAGGGUUAGUCGGGUCCUAAGGCUCAGCCGAACGGUGAUCUCGAUGGAUAAUCGGUUAAUAUUCCGAUACUGACAUAUACCUCGAUGGAGAGACGAAGGAACGUAAGUGCCGCCACCUGACGGAAUAGGUGGUUAAAGGGCUUAGGUAUAGGGGCAGAUUAAGAGUUAGUCCUUGCUGAAACCUGACAGUACAGAGAGCCUACGGGCAAUUUGAUAGUGCACCCAAGUCGACUUCCGAGAAAAUCUUCUAAG
RNAcentral lists this ribosomal RNA (1392 nucleotides) under Escherichia coli. RNAcentral describes it as "partial 23S ribosomal RNA". It matches the Rfam family "Bacterial large subunit ribosomal RNA", at positions 243 to 1625 of the family's 2925-position model. Lineage: Bacteria; Pseudomonadati; Pseudomonadota; Gammaproteobacteria; Enterobacterales; Enterobacteriaceae. The record is from RNAcentral.